AGAGUUUGAUCCUGGCUCAGAUUGAACGCUGGCGGCAUGCCUUACACAUGCAAGUCGAACGGCAGCACGGGUGCUUGCACCUGGUGGCGAGUGGCGAACGGGUGAGUAAUACAUCGGAACAUGUCCUGUAGUGGGGGAUAGCCCGGCGAAAGCCGGAUUAAUACCGCAUACGAUCUACGGAUGAAAGCGGGGGACCUUCGGGCCUCGCGCUAUAGGGUUGGCCGAUGGCUGAUUAGCUAGUUGGUGGGGUAAAGGCCUACCAAGGCGACGAUCAGUAGCUGGUCUGAGAGGACGACCAGCCACACUGGGACUGAGACACGGCCCAGACUCCUACGGGAGGCAGCAGUGGGGAAUUUUGGACAAUGGGCGAAAGCCUGAUCCAGCAAUGCCGCGUGUGUGAAGAAGGCCUUCGGGUUGUAAAGCACUUUUGUCCGGAAAGAAAUCCUUGGCUCUAAUACAGUCGGGGGAUGACGGUACCGGAAGAAUAAGCACCGGCUAACUACGUGCCAGCAGCCGCGGUAAUACGUAGGGUGCGAGCGUUAAUCGGAAUUACUGGGCGUAAAGCGUGCGCAGGCGGUUUGGCUAAGACCGAUGUGAAAUCCCCGGGCUCAACCUGGGAACUGCAUUGGUGACUGGCAGGCUAGAGUAUGGCAGAGGGGGGUAGAAUUCCACGUGUAGCAGUGAAAUGCGUAGAGAUGUGGAGGAAUACCGAUGGCGAAGGCAGCCCCCUGGGCCAAUACUGACGUUCAUGCACGAAAGCGUGGGGAGCAAACAGGAUUAGAUACCCGGGUAGUCCACGCCCUAAACGAUGUCAACUAGUUGUUGGGGAUUCAUUUCCUUAGUAACGUAGCUAACGCGUGAAGUUGACCGCCUGGGGAGUACGGUCGCAAGAUUAAAACUCAAAGGAAUUGACGGGGACCCGCACAAGCGGUGGAUGAUGUGGAUUAAUUCGAUGCAACGCGAAAAACCUUACCUACCCUUGACAUGGUCGGAAUCCUGCUGAGAGGUGGGAGUGCUCGAAAGAGAACCGGCGCACAGGUGCUGCAUGGCUGUCGUCAGCUCGUGUCGUGAGAUGUUGGGUUAAGUCCCGCAACGAGCGCAACCCUUGUCCUUAGUUGCUACGCAAGAGCACUCUAAGGAGACUGCCGGUGACAAACCGGAGGAAGGUGGGGAUGACGUCAAGUCCUCAUGGCCCUUAUGGGUAGGGCUUCACACGUCAUACAAUGGUCGGAACAGAGGGUUGCCAACCCGCGAGGGGGAGCUAAUCCCAGAAAACCGAUCGUAGUCCGGAUUGCACUCUGCAACUCGAGUGCAUGAAGCUGGAAUCGCUAGUAAUCGCGGAUCAGCAUGCCGCGGUGAAUACGUUCCCGGGUCUUGUACACACCGCCCGUCACACCAUGGGAGUGGGUUUUACCAGAAGUGGCUAGUCUAACCGCAAGGAGGACGGUCACCACGGUAGGAUUCAUGACUGGGGUGAAGUAGGAACAAGGUA
Molecule: ribosomal RNA, 1492 nt
Filed under: uncultured beta proteobacterium
Lineage: Bacteria; Pseudomonadati; Pseudomonadota; Betaproteobacteria
Description: 16S ribosomal RNA
Rfam family: Bacterial small subunit ribosomal RNA
Source: RNAcentral